This 209-nucleotide long non-coding RNA is filed under the name Mytilus galloprovincialis (Mediterranean mussel). Lineage: Eukaryota; Metazoa; Mollusca; Bivalvia; Mytilida; Mytilidae. The record is from RNAcentral.
UGGUAAUUCUGCUUUUGUAAAUAUACGCAGCUAUAACACUACAUAUACAUGUAUAUUACAUAAGACAGUACAUCGGUAUUGGCAUGAAAAAAAAUCGAUGUUGCUUUCAUUAAAGUUUACUGCUAUAAGGUUUUUAGCAAUAAUUUUGAACUAAGGAAUAUUUUUUUUUCUUGCAUAGCUCUUAUUAUUUGUCUGUAUUUGGCUUUUCU